RNAcentral lists this ribosomal RNA (1262 nucleotides) under Staphylococcus warneri. RNAcentral describes it as "bacterial SSU rRNA". It matches the Rfam family "Bacterial small subunit ribosomal RNA", at positions 74 to 1320 of the family's 1533-position model. Lineage: Bacteria; Bacillati; Bacillota; Bacilli; Caryophanales; Staphylococcaceae. The record is from RNAcentral.
AGGAGCUUGCUCCUUUGACGUUAGCGGCGGACGGGUGAGUAACACGUGGAUAACCUACCUAUAAGACUGGGAUAACUUCGGGAAACCGGAGCUAAUACCGGAUAACAUAUUGAACCGCAUGGUUCAAUAGUGAAAGGCGGCUUUGCUGUCACUUAUAGAUGGAUCCGCGCCGUAUUAGCUAGUUGGUAAGGUAACGGCUUACCAAGGCAACGAUACGUAGCCGACCUGAGAGGGUGAUCGGCCACACUGGAACUGAGACACGGUCCAGACUCCUACGGGAGGCAGCAGUAGGGAAUCUUCCGCAAUGGGCGAAAGCCUGACGGAGCAACGCCGCGUGAGUGAUGAAGGUCUUCGGAUCGUAAAACUCUGUUAUCAGGGAAGAACAAAUGUGUAAGUAACUGUGCACAUCUUGACGGUACCUGAUCAGAAAGCCACGGCUAACUACGUGCCAGCAGCCGCGGUAAUACGUAGGUGGCAAGCGUUAUCCGGAAUUAUUGGGCGUAAAGCGCGCGUAGGCGGUUUUUUAAGUCUGAUGUGAAAGCCCACGGCUCAACCGUGGAGGGUCAUUGGAAACUGGAAAACUUGAGUGCAGAAGAGGAAAGUGGAAUUCCAUGUGUAGCGGUGAAAUGCGCAGAGAUAUGGAGGAACACCAGUGGCGAAGGCGACUUUCUGGUCUGUAACUGACGCUGAUGUGCGAAAGCGUGGGGAUCAAACAGGAUUAGAUACCCUGGUAGUCCACGCCGUAAACGAUGAGUGCUAAGUGUUAGGGGGUUUCCGCCCCUUAGUGCUGCAGCUAACGCAUUAAGCACUCCGCCUGGGGAGUACGACCGCAAGGUUGAAACUCAAAGGAAUUGACGGGGACCCGCACAAGCGGUGGAGCAUGUGGUUUAAUUCGAAGCAACGCGAAGAACCUUACCAAAUCUUGACAUCCUUUGACCGCUCUAGAGAUAGAGUCUUCCCCUUCGGGGGACAAAGUGACAGGUGGUGCAUGGUUGUCGUCAGCUCGUGUCGUGAGAUGUUGGGUUAAGUCCCGCAACGAGCGCAACCCUUAAGCUUAGUUGCCAUCAUUAAGUUGGGCACUCUAAGUUGACUGCCGGUGACAAACCGGAGGAAGGUGGGGAUGACGUCAAAUCAUCAUGCCCCUUAUGAUUUGGGCUACACACGUGCUACAAUGGACAAUACAAAGGGCAGCUAAACCGCGAGGUCAAGCAAAUCCCAUAAAGUUGUUCUCAGUUCGGAUUGUAGUCUGCAACUCGACUACA